UCCGGUUUGUCACCGGCAGUAUGACUAAAGUGCCUAACUUAAUAAGGGCAACUAGUCACGAGGGUCGCGUUCGUUGCGGGACUUAACCCAACAUCUCACGACACGAACUGACGACAGCCAUGCAGCACCUGUGUGGGACCCAGCCUAACUGACACUCUUCUUUCAAAGAGCUCUAAUCCCCAUGUCAAAAGUUGGUAAGGUUCUGCGCGUAGCCUCGAAUUAAACCACAUACUCCACCGCUUGUGCGGAUCCCCGUCAAUUCCUUUGAGUUUUAAUCUUGCGACCGUACUCCCCAGGCGGAGUGCUUAUUGCGUUAGCUUUGAUACUGAAAGUCUAAAACUCCCAACAUCGAGCACUCAUCGUUUACAGCGUGGACUAC
Molecule: unclassified non-coding RNA, 379 nt
Filed under: uncultured Alphaproteobacteria bacterium
Lineage: Bacteria; Pseudomonadati; Pseudomonadota; Alphaproteobacteria
Description: contains 16S-23S intergenic spacer region
Source: RNAcentral